GCCAAUUAUUUGGCUUAAAAUCCCUCGCUGCUAACGCGGCGUGCCGGUUCGAUUCCGGCUCCGGGCACCA
Molecule: transfer RNA, 70 nt
Filed under: Rugosibacter aromaticivorans
Lineage: Bacteria; Pseudomonadati; Pseudomonadota; Betaproteobacteria; Nitrosomonadales; Sterolibacteriaceae
Description: tRNA-Ser (GCT) (tRNA-Ser-GCT-2-1)
Source: RNAcentral